Long non-coding RNA from Cavia porcellus (domestic guinea pig), 1973 nucleotides. RefSeq lists it as uncharacterized. The record is from RefSeq and is a predicted model, not a curated record. NCBI's taxonomy places the organism in Eukaryota, Metazoa, Chordata, Mammalia, Rodentia, Caviidae. The transcript is spliced from 3 exons.
AGUUGCCAUGACGUGACUAGGUUUCUUUAAUUCUGUGCUUUCCCCAUGAUGUUCUGCCUCUGCACAAGCCCAAAAUCAAGGAAGCCAGAGGGCCAUGGACUGACACUCUGAAACUGUGAGCCAAAGGCCUGAUAGAGUGAGCCGCACAUCACUGGAGCUCUGUAAUUCUGGGAAUUGACUGAGCUCAGCUGUGUGGUUCCUGAUUCUACAUCCCCCUGGUUUCAGUUAGAUGGCAGCUGGGCAAGCAAGAGUCAUUUUAGAGGUUUCUCCCUACGUGUCCUGUGGCAAAUGUCAGCUAGUGGUUGAGACUGCAGCAGGGGUUACUAGAGGAGGCACCUAUCCAUAGCUUCUUCUGCUUAUUAACCUAUCUGAGCCUUCUUCCUGGCAGAGGAAGCACUUGGUACACAGCGAUGCUUACUGCAGGCCUCAGGGCCUCCCCUAGUUUUCUACUGUUUCAGGUGCUCCCACUUGAUUGGCGGCACGUGUGUGUGUGUGUGUGUGUGUGUGUGUGUGUGUGUGUGUGAACAGACUGAGCAAGCAUGGGGGCACCUGCUCCUCGCCUGGGCCACCUGUGGGACUUGACUUCACUGUCCUCACAGUGCACCCGCAGGCUGGUUUCCUGGUGGCUGGGGUGGGUGGGCAUGGCAGUGGCCCAUCCUGGCAGCUGGCUUGUGGCCAGAGACUCAGGUCUGCCAGUGUGGGCGCAGACACUCUCUCCCCAGAAAAGCUGCUUGAAGGCACAGAAGGGGAAGAGAAGAUUAAAAAUAAAGAGUGGUCGUGUUCAGUUUUGAAAUUAAAAGACAGCCGUGGACUCAAAGGCCCUUCCAUUCUUUUGCUUUGAGGGGGGCAGGGUGCCAAAAUGGGGAAAAACUUGGGGACAGUUGUGCAGCUUGCUUUCUGCAGAGUCCUAAUGCAAGGGAAUACCGCUCUGUACCUCAGGGAGCACAGCUGUGGUCUCACCUGAAACGUCAAUGUGCCGUAGUUCAGCAGGCUUUGUGAAGUAGUUGCUCUCAUGUCUACUUCGUUGCAUGUAGGGAUUUUGAAUUUGGAUCCUCCUUGCUUUGUAUUUUUCUUGUUCACAUCAAGCCAGUAGAAACUUACGUGAAUGGAGCCCACGUGUUGUAAGCAUGGAUCAGCUCUCAUCUCAGGUCCUAGUCUAGACCUGGACAAGGAAAAUAUCUUUACUCUGCAGAGAAAGCAACAGAGGAGUACAGGCACUAAAUGAUUACCCAACAUGAUGUGGUUUGCAAAAAAUGGCAGAGCUGUGUUCUCAAUCCGGGUACUACUAGUUUCACAUACGUAAGAUUCACGCGACAUAAAAUGCACUUCAAAUUGGUUUGAUUCAUGGGGAAAAAGAAAAAUGACAGGCAAUUGGUUCAAACAGCUGAAAAAUCCAGACACAUUUGAAAACACCUUUCAGCUCUGGUUGCAGUAUUUUCAGGCCAGAUCUACCCUGGUGCUGGCAAAGUGCUUCCAAUAUCUCCCACUCAAUAACCUAACCACUUACCUUCCCCAACCAAAGGGAGAACGUUCCAUUUUGACUUUUAGUAUAUGGUGAUAGACAUGGACCUAAUUUUAGGCUUUAGCAUGUAGAGAGUCAAUUUUUCCAGCACUAUUUACUAAAGAGGCUGUCUUUCUUGUAGAGAACAUGUUUGGCCCCUUUGUGGAAGAUAAGGCGGUUGAGUGUGUCAUUUAAUCUGUUCCACUGGUCCUCAGGUCUAAACAAGGUCUAAUAUGUACAAUAGAUACUGUGACACGGGAAGAAAAUGUUCCAAAGGGAAAAGGAACUAGGAUGAGUGAAAUAGGAAAAAACAAUUGGGAAAAGAGAAAAAUGCAAGUCAGUUAUACUAUUAGUGUCUCUUAGUUCAUUAAAAGAAAAAGUUGGUGCUAAUAUCAAUUGUAGAAAUUUUUAUGCCUAUAUCUUGUACCCUGAGCAACUACUUUAAAGAUAAUAAAAUGUAAUGUGUUGACAA